AUUUUAUUGGCGUACGAGCCAGCGUUCUAGUCUGAUGGAAGCCCCGCUCACUGGGAGGUCAUGAACUGGAGACUUGAGGCAGAGAGGGUGAAUCCAUGUGUAGCGUGAAUGCGUAGAUAUAUGAGACACCAGUGCGAAGCGCUCUCUGUCUGUAACUGACGCUGAGGCUCGAAGCGUGGGAGCAACCAGGAUUAGAUACCCUGGUAGUCCCCGCCGUAAACGAUGAGUGCUAAGUGUUGGAGGGUUUCCGCCCUUCAGUGCUGCAGCAAACGCAUUAAGCACUCCGCCUGGGGAGUACGACCGCAAGGUUGAAACUCAAAGGAAUUGACGGGGCCCGCACAAGCGGUGGAGCAUGUGGUUUAAUUUGAAGCAACGCGAAGAACCUUACCAGGUCUUGACAUCCUUUGACCCCUUUAGAGAUAGAGCUUUCCCUUUGGGGACAAAGUGACAGGUGGUGCAUGGUUGUUGUCAGCUCGUGUCGUGAGAUGUUGGGUUAAGUCCCGCAACGAGCGCAACCCUUAUUGUUAGUUGCCAUCAUUUAGUUGGGCACUUUAGCGAGACUGCCGGUGACAAACCGGAGGAAGGUGGGGAUGACGUCAAAUCAUCCUGCCCCUUAUGACCUGGGGUACACACGUGGUACAAUGGGAAGUACAACGAGUCGGUAGACCGGGAGGUCAUGCAAAUUUUUUAAAGGUUUUUUCAAUUUGGAUUGCAGGGUGCAAAUUGCCUGCAUGAAGCCGGAAUCGGUUGUAAUCGCGGAUCAGCCCGCCGCGGUGAAUACGUUUCCGGGCCUUGUACACCCCGCCCGUCCCCCCCCGAGAGUUUGUAACCCCCGAAGUCGGUGAGGUAACCUUUUUGGAGCCAGCCGCCUAAGGUGGGAUAG
RNAcentral lists this ribosomal RNA (883 nucleotides) under Enterococcus faecalis. Its description in RNAcentral is "bacterial SSU rRNA". It matches the Rfam family "Bacterial small subunit ribosomal RNA", at positions 549 to 1470 of the family's 1533-position model. The record is from RNAcentral. Lineage: Bacteria; Bacillati; Bacillota; Bacilli; Lactobacillales; Enterococcaceae.